GUUGGGGAUAACUCCGGGAAACCGGGGCUAAUACCGAAUGAUAGAGUGUGGCGCAUGCCACGCUCUUGAAAGAUGGUUUCGGCUAUCGCUUACAGAUGGGCCCGCGGUGCAUUAGCUAGUUGGUAGGGUAAUGGCCUACCAAGGCAACGAUGCAUAGCCGACCUGAGAGGGUGAUCGGCCACACUGGGACUGAGACACGGCCCAGACUCCUACGGGAGGCAGCAGUAGGGAAUCUUCCGCAAUGGACGAAAGUCUGACGGAGCAACGCCGCGUGUAUGAAGAAGGUUUUCGGAUCGUAAAGUACUGUUGUUAGAGAAGAACAAGGAUAAGAGUAACUGCUUGUCCCUUGACGGUAUCUAACCAGAAAGCCACGGCUAACUACGUGCCAGCAGCCGCGGUAAUACGUAGGUGGCAAGCGUUGUCCGGAUUUAUUGGGCGUAAAGCGCGCGCAGGCGGUCUUUUAAGUCUGAUGUGAAAGCCCCCGGCUUAACCGGGGAGGGUCAUUGGAAACUGGAAGACUGGAGUGCAGAAGAGGAGAGUGGAAUUCCACGUGUAGCGGUGAAAUGCGUAGAUAUGUGGAGGAACACCAGUGGCGAAGGCGACUCUCUGGUCUGUAACUGACGC
RNAcentral lists this ribosomal RNA (624 nucleotides) under Listeria monocytogenes. RNAcentral describes it as "bacterial SSU rRNA". It matches the Rfam family "Bacterial small subunit ribosomal RNA", at positions 136 to 746 of the family's 1533-position model. The record is from RNAcentral. Lineage: Bacteria; Bacillati; Bacillota; Bacilli; Caryophanales; Listeriaceae.